RNAcentral lists this ribosomal RNA (497 nucleotides) under uncultured bacterium. RNAcentral describes it as "partial 16S ribosomal RNA". It matches the Rfam family "Bacterial small subunit ribosomal RNA", at positions 28 to 507 of the family's 1533-position model. The record is from RNAcentral.
GACGAACGCUGGCGGCGUGCCUAAUACAUGCAAGUCGAGCGAACAAGCGUGGUACUUGUUCCAACUGCGUGAGCAGCGGACGGGUGAGUAACGCGUGGAGAACCUGCCUUUGAGCGGGGGACAACUUCUGGAAACGAAUGCUAGUACCGCAUAAAAUCUUUAAACACAUGUUUUAAGAUUGAAAGAUGCAAUUGCAGUACCCAAAGAUGAUCUCGCGUUGUAUUUGCUAGGUGGUGAGGUAAAGGCUCACCCAGGCGAUGAUACAUAGCCGACCUGAGAGGGUGGAUGGCCACCAUGGGACCGGGACCCGGCCCAAGCUCCUUACGGGAGGAACAAUAAGGGAACUUCGGCCAUUGGCGGAAGUCUGGCCGGGCAACGCCGGGGGGAGGGAAAAAGGUUUCGGGUCGUAAAACUCUGUUGAUAGGGGAGAAAGAUAGUUGGAAUGGAAAGCGCAUCAAGUGACGGUACCUACUCAGAAAGCGACGGCUAACUACGUG